RNAcentral lists this ribosomal RNA (39 nucleotides) under Chaetoceros dayaensis. RNAcentral's name for it is "partial 18S ribosomal RNA". The record is from RNAcentral. Lineage: Eukaryota; Bacillariophyta; Thalassiosirophyceae; Chaetocerotales; Chaetocerotaceae.
CUCCCGUGAAGUGCAGAUCUGUUCAGACCUGGUUGGUGA